This is a long non-coding RNA of Girardinichthys multiradiatus, 1709 nucleotides long. RefSeq lists it as uncharacterized. Lineage: Eukaryota; Metazoa; Chordata; Actinopteri; Cyprinodontiformes; Goodeidae. The transcript has 4 exons. The record is from RefSeq and is a predicted model, not a curated record.
GUGAUCCAGCUGCAGUCUACUCAGCUGUGAGGACAGAAGAUGUCAGUUAAAGUCAGAUGUUGAUCAGAGGAAACAGGAACAGAGAGUUUUCACCUGAGCUGGAUGUUGUUUACUCCUCACUGAAGUAAAAGCGCUGAUGUUUAGCUUUGGACCCUCAGCUGGUUCACUCAGACCUUCAGACCAGUACAGACCAGUACAGAUAUGUAACUUUCUAUGUUAUUAAAAAUCGUUGGUCAAACUUUUAGUGCAGUGGUGGAUGGGUUCCUCUGUGGACCCGGCAAACCCGGUUCCAUUUUUGUUUUUUGGUUCUGUUGUAUCAGGAAACCUGGAGAUACUUUUCAAUGACAGAAAUAAAAAAUAAACAUUCAAACAUGAAUAAAUACCAGGAAUAAGAUUCAAAUGUGCCAAGAACUGAAAUGUCUGUAAAUAAUAAAAUACAUUUCUCAGUAAUUCUUUAAGAUGACUUUUAUUCACAUCAUACAACUCAAUGUAGCAAGAUCAUGGGGUGGUGUGAGGUUUCAAAACACGCAGCUAUAAGGAUUCCAGACUGUCUGUUGGGUCGCACCACUAAUAAUCUUCCUGUGGAUCCUGAGGGACUCCCAGCUGUCAGCAAUCCAGCCGAUUACAACCUAGCUACUUAAGGCUGCAGCACUGGAACGUCAACUGCUGAAUGUUUUUGGAGUGGAACCUUGGAUGCCAUAUCCUGUGGAUCGUUCAAGAGUCUCAGGUUGCUUCUUGCCAUACAAGAACCCCAGCUGAUCUGACUUGGUCAUCUUUAAGUUUUGCUGGUCUGACUGGUCCCUCUUCAACAAAACCUCAGAACUUGGAAUUCCUAGUCUUCUCCAGACAUCAACAAGGCUCCAUUGUAAAAUCUCACCAGAACCAGAUGUUGUCUAUUCUUCACUGAAGUAGUCCAGAUGAUGUCCACCAACCUGCUCUCAGCUCGUUCUCCAGAUCCAAACAUCAGCUUCCAUCUAAAGAUUUGUAUUAUGCACAUAUUUAUGACUCAUACCUUUAUAGAACAUAUUUAUAUUUCCAGUCUUCUUCAGAACUUCUAAUCAACAACAUCGACCAUUUUCAAGUAGUUAAAUGUUCCAUGAAUGUAUUUCAUGGUACAAAGACACUUUCUUUAUUGCUGUCAGUAAAUUCAUUGUUUAUUUCUCCAAUCUGGAAUAAAUAUUUCAUACAGCAGCAGAUUAGUUUCUUACAGAGUUUUUCUUUUGAUUUUAAUAUGUGGUUCUGUAGACUUGAACAAAAAGAGACAGAAAAUGACUUCCUGUUUUGAACUGAUCCAAACCUUUCCUCCGAAAAACUGAAAGAAACUGCAGAAUAAAACGUUCAAACACCACUGAGUGACAGAAAGUAUUAAACCAGAGCUGUUUCAUUUCUGUUUUUAUUCAUUAAUGUUGUCUAAAUCAUGCUGGAAAAUAGAGAUGUUAUUCAUGGUAUAUUGUAGAAUUUCUUCCUCUCAUAAUUUGGUUAGAAAUAAAAGUUACACUGACAUAAAAACUAUUUGCUGUAUAGAAUCAGAAAACAGGAACUUUAGUUACAGAAAGCAGUUUGUUCUCAGAAAGAUACACUGUGGAAACGUUUUGAUCUAAAAUGUUAAAGAUAUUUUAUUACUUUUAUUCAUUCCUAUGACGAUUAUUGACUUUACUUUGUUUUUCUUUUUAGUUUGUAUUUUUUCCACUAAACCUCCUGAGCUUUGA